This 460-nucleotide ribosomal RNA is filed under the name uncultured bacterium. RNAcentral describes it as "partial 16S ribosomal RNA". It matches the Rfam family "Bacterial small subunit ribosomal RNA", at positions 338 to 795 of the family's 1533-position model. The record is from RNAcentral.
CCUACGGGGGGCAGCAGUGAGGAAUAUUGGUCAAUAGACGAGAGUCUGAACCAGCCAAGUAGCGUGAAGGAUGACUGCCCUAUGGGUUGUAAACUUCUUUUAUAUGGGAAUAAAAUGUUCCACGUGUGGGAUUUUGUAUGUACCAUAUGAAUAAGGAUCGGCUAACUCCGUGCCAGCAGCCGCGGUAAUACGGAGGAUCCGAGCGUUAUCCGGAUUUAUUGGGUUUAAAGGGAGCGUAGGUGGAUUGUUAAGUCAGUUGUGAAAGUUUGCGGCUCAACCGUAAAAUUGCAGUUGAAACUGGCAGUCUUGAGUACAGUAGAGGUGGGCGGAAUUCGUGGUGUAGCGGUGAAAUGCUUAGAUAUCACGAAGAACUCCGAUUGCGAAGGCAGUUCACUGGACUGCAACUGACACUGAGGCUCGAAAGUGUGGGUAUCAAACAGGAUUAGAUACCCUAGUAGUC